This 693-nucleotide ribosomal RNA is filed under the name Xanthoparmelia camtschadalis. RNAcentral describes it as "SSU rRNA". It matches the Rfam family "Bacterial small subunit ribosomal RNA", at positions 371 to 1085 of the family's 1533-position model. Lineage: Eukaryota; Fungi; Ascomycota; Lecanoromycetes; Lecanorales; Parmeliaceae. The record is from RNAcentral.
UAUAGCAAUAGCUACUUGCAUCAUAGUAGAUAUGAUGCAAGAUCGACUAUGUUGAAUAAAAUUCUAGGUAGAAUUAUGAUAAUGACAUUGUCUGCCUAUGUGUCUUGACCAAAUUACGUGCCAGCAGUCGCGGUAAUACGUAGAAGACUAGUGUUAUUCAUGUUUAAUCGGUUUAAAGGGUACCUAGACGGUAGAUCAAGCUUUCUAAUAAAGGAAAAGGACUAAUUUACUAGAGUUACUUAUGAGGGGGUAUUAAAGUACUGCUGGUGUAGAGAUGAAAUUCUGUCAUACCUCUUUUCAAAAGAAAAACCAUGGCACAGGUAUAGGCGAAGGCAUCCCCUUAUGUGAUAACUGACGUUGAGGGACGAAGGCUUUGUGUAGCGAACAGGAUUAGAUACCCCAGUAGUCGAAGCAGAAAAUGAUGAAUGUCAUAGAUUAGAUAUAUAAGUUUAUUCUAUAAAUGAAAGUGUAAGCAUUCCACCUCAUGAGUAAUUUGGCAACAUUGGAACUGAAAUCAUUAGACCGUUUCUGAAACCAGUAGUGAAGUAUGUUGUUUAAUUUGAUGAUCCGCAAAAAACCUUACCACAAUUUGAAUAUUUAUAUUGUUUAUUGUUUUAUUAUUAAUUUUCUUGAACGUAAAAGAAAAGAGAGAUGUAGGAUAAUAGUAAGAAAAUUAAUAAAGAAGCAAUAAGA